This 828-nucleotide non-coding RNA is filed under the name Sceliphron madraspatanum. Lineage: Eukaryota; Metazoa; Arthropoda; Insecta; Hymenoptera; Sphecidae. The record is from RNAcentral.
UAUAUUUAAUAUUUAUAAGAUUAAGUUUUUAUUUUUGACUUUAAUUUUAAGAAAAAAUUUUUUUCUAAUAUAUAAUUUUUUUAAUUUUAAUAAAUUAAAAUAUUAUAAUUAUUUAUAAAUUUAAAAUUAUAAAUAAUUAUUUUUUAGUAGUGAAAUUUAAUGUAUUAAUUAAUGUUAAACUUAGAAUUUUUUAUAAAAUAGGUUAAUUUAGUGCCAGCAACUGCGGUUAUUCUAAAUAUUUAAUUAAAAUUAAACCGAAGUUUUAAUAUUAUUUUAAAUAUUUUAAAAUUAUAUAAUAAAUUAAUUUUAUAUAGAUGAAAUUUUAUAAAGUUUUUAUAUUUAUUAAUUUUUUAAUUAGUUAAUUUAUUAAAAUAUGAAAAUAAACUAGGAUUAGAUACCCUAUUAUUCUUAUAGGAAGAAUCAAAACUUUUCAUAUUAAAUGUAAAUCAUUAAAUGUGUCAAAUAUGGCGGUAAUUUAUAAUAAUUAGAGGAAUCUGUUUUGUAAUUGAUAAUCCACGAUAAGAAAUACUUUUAAUAAAUUUUAUGUAUUGCUGUUUUUAUUUUUUAAUUUAAUUUUAUUAGAAGUAAAUUUUAUUUAAAUAAGAAUUCAAGUCAAAAUGUAGUUUUUAAAAGAAUUUUAUGGGUUACUAUAUUAUUUUAUUUCGAAUUAUUUAUUUUAAAUUAAAUAUGAAGAAGGAUUUAAUAGUAAUUAAAUUUAAUUUAAUUUAAUGAAUAUUGUUCUAAAUUAUGUACAAAUUGCCCGUCACUUUCAUUAAAUAUGGAAUAAGUCGUAACAAAGUAAAUGUAUUGGAAAAUGUAUUUAGAUUU